This 253-nucleotide ribosomal RNA is filed under the name uncultured bacterium. Its description in RNAcentral is "partial 16S ribosomal RNA". It matches the Rfam family "Bacterial small subunit ribosomal RNA", at positions 524 to 776 of the family's 1533-position model. The record is from RNAcentral.
UACGUAGGAUGCAAGCGUUGUCCGGAAUUAUUGGGCGUAAAGGGCUCGUAGGCGGUCUGUCACGUCGGGAGUGAAAACUCAGGGCUUAACCCUGAGCCUGCUUCCGAUACGGGCAGACUAGAGGUAUGCAGGGGAGAACGGAAUUCCUGGUGUAGCGGUGAAAUGCGCAGAUAUCAGGAGGAACACCGGUGGCGAAGGCGGUUCUCUGGGCAUUACCUGACGCUGAGGAGCGAAAGUGUGGGGAGCGAACAGG